UGUGUUAAUUUUUUUUUUAUUAAAAAUUAAUUAAUAAACUAUUUUGGUUUGAGUAUGUUAAAGAAAUAAGAAAUAUAUUUAGAACUGUUAAGGUUAAUUUUUGUCAAAUUAAAAUGAUUAGUUAGUACCUUUUGUAUCAGGGUAAUUUAAAUUACUUAAAUAUUUUAUUUUCCCGAAAUAAGAAGGUCAAUUUUUGUAUAAAUCAAUUGUUGAAUAAAUUGGUUUUAAUACAAUAUUAGUAAUUAUAUGUUAUUCGUUUUUUGUAUAUCUGGUUUUAAGGUAAAUUAAUUAAGUUAAGCAUUUAUAUUUAAAUCAUAAUUAAAUUUUUUUUAAAAUGUUAUUUUAUUAGGGAUAAUCUUAAUAAAGUUAAUUAUAAUUUUACAUACAAAAAAAUUUAUAUUUUCUUUAAAAUUUUGAAUAUAGUUUUUAAUAAAUUAAAAUUUUUUAUCAUGAUUUUUUGUAUAUUUAAUUUAGAACCUUAAUUUGGAUUAAAAUUUAAAUAAUCUUUUAAUAAUGAUUUAAUUAGUAUAAGUUUUAUUUAAUUUAUUAUGAAUUCAACAAACAAUUAAUUUCAUCUGUUUAUCAAAAACAUUUCUUUUUGAAUUUUAAAUAAAAGGUAGGUUCUGCUCAAUGAUAUUAUUUUAAAUAGCUGCAGUAUUUUGACUGUACAAAGGUAGCAUAAUCAUUAGCCCCUUAAUUAGGGGCUGGUAUGAAUGAAUUAAUGAAAAUUAAAUUUUAUUUUUAAUAUUUUUAAAAUUUAAAUUUUAAGUUAAAAUGCUUAAUUAAAUUUCAGGGACGAUAAGACCCUAUAGAACUUGAAAAAUAAAGUUUUUGAUUUAUUUUUAACAAUUAAUUUAUUUUAACUUUAAAUAUUUUUUUAGUUGGGGUGACUAGUAAAUUUUAACUUUACUUUUUUUGAUCAUAAAUUAAGUGUUCUUGUUGAUCUUUUUAAGAAUUAUAAGGAAUAGUUACCUUAGGGAUAACAGCGUUAUUUAAGUGGUAAGUUCAUAUUUAUACUUAAUUUUGCGACCUCGAUGUUGAAUUAAGAAAACUUAAGAAAGCAGUAAUUUUUAUAGUAAGUCUGUUCGACUUUUAAUUUCUUACAUGAUUUGAGUUCAGACCGGCGUGAGCCAGGUCGGUUUCUAUCUUGAAUUAUACAAAUAUUAAUUAGUACGAAAGGACCAUUAAUCUAUACAAAGUGUUAUUUUUAUAAAUAAAUAUAAA
Molecule: ribosomal RNA, 1224 nt
Filed under: unidentified
Description: Paradorydium reflexana 16S ribosomal RNA
Rfam family: Archaeal large subunit ribosomal RNA (bases 979-1137)
Source: RNAcentral